AUAUGGAUGAGCGAAACAAUGACAAAGGUAAUGACAGUGACAUAACAGUAUUUUUCCUACAAGUUAGGAUAUUUGAAGUAACUCAAUUUGUUUUUCUACCUAAAGAAGAGCGAGAUAUAGCUCAUUGAUAUAUACUUACCAAUUAUGAAGAGAUUGAGCCUUAUUUUGAGUAAGUUCUUACUACCUAAAUUUUAUUAUUAAAUAUUCAAUAUAGAAAUAUGA
RNAcentral lists this long non-coding RNA (222 nucleotides) under Elaeis guineensis (African oil palm). Its description in RNAcentral is "long non-coding RNA (EGUI_LNC019101)". The record is from RNAcentral. Lineage: Eukaryota; Viridiplantae; Streptophyta; Magnoliopsida; Arecales; Arecaceae.